Molecule: ribosomal RNA, 275 nt
Filed under: uncultured bacterium
Lineage: Bacteria
Description: partial 16S ribosomal RNA
Rfam family: Bacterial small subunit ribosomal RNA
Source: RNAcentral
CCUACGGGAGGCUGCAGUAAGGAAUAUUGGACAAUGGACGGAAGUCUGAUCCAGCCAUGCCGCGUGAAGGAUGAAGGCGCUCAGCGUUGUAAACUUCUUUUGGACGGGGACAAACCACUCGACGUGUCGGGUGCUGAGGGUACCGUCAGAAUAAGCACCGGCUAACUCCGUGCCAGCAGCCGCGGUAAUACGGAGGGUGCAAGCGUUAUCCGGAAUCACUGGGUUUAAAGGGUGCGUAGGCGGUUUGAUAAGUCAGUUGUGAAAUUCCUCGGCUU